RNAcentral lists this small nucleolar RNA (81 nucleotides) under Vulpes vulpes (red fox). Its description in RNAcentral is "Small nucleolar RNA SNORD103/SNORD85 (ENSVVUG00000014659.1)". Lineage: Eukaryota; Metazoa; Chordata; Mammalia; Carnivora; Canidae. The record is from RNAcentral.
UUAGGAAUGACACACUUGUCCUCCCUGAGAUCAUAGUUUGAAGAUAAGAGUCUUGCUCUUUAUAUCCAUCUGCUGAGCCAA